Molecule: ribosomal RNA, 377 nt
Filed under: uncultured bacterium
Lineage: Bacteria
Description: bacterial SSU rRNA
Rfam family: Bacterial small subunit ribosomal RNA
Source: RNAcentral
ACUCCUACGGGAGGCAGCAGUGGGGAAUAUUGCACAAUGGGCGCAAGCCUGAUGCAGCCAUGCCGCGUGUAUGAAGAAGGCCUUCGGGUUGUAAAGUACUUUCAGCAGUGAGGAAGGUGGGUAUGUUAAUAGCAUAUUCUAUUUGUACGUUAGCUGCAGAAGAAGCACCGGCUAACUCCGUGCCAGCAGCCGCGGUAAUACGGAGGGUGCGAGCGUUAAUCGGAAUUACUGGGCGUAAAGCGCAUGCAGGUGGUUGUUAAGUCAGAUGUGAAAGCCCGGGGCUCAACCUCGGAAUUGCAUUUGAAACUGGCAAACUAGAGUACUGUAGAGGGGGUAGAAUUUCAGGUGUAGCGGUGAAAUGCGUAGAGAUCGUAGAA